Molecule: ribosomal RNA, 253 nt
Filed under: uncultured bacterium
Lineage: Bacteria
Description: partial 16S ribosomal RNA
Rfam family: Bacterial small subunit ribosomal RNA
Source: RNAcentral
UACGGAGGGGGCUAGCGUUGUUCGGAAUUACUGGGCGUAAAGCGCACGUAGGCGGCUUUGUAAGUUAGAGGUGAAAGCCCGGAGCUCAACUCCGGAACUGCCUUUAAGACUGCAUCGCUUGAACGUCGGAGAGGUAAGUGGAAUUCCGAGUGUAGAGGUGAAAUUCGUAGAUAUUCGGAAGAACACCAGUGGCGAAGGCGACCUACUGGACGACUGUUGACGCUGAGGUGCGAAAGCGUGGGGAGCAAACAGG